UACGUAGGGUGCAAGCGUUGUCCGGAAUUAUUGGGCGUAAAGGGCUCGUAGGCGGUCUGUCACGUCGGGAGUGAAAACUCAGGGCUUAACCCUGAGCCUGCUUCCGAUACGGGCAGACUAGAGGUAUGCAGGGGAGAACGGAAUUCCUGGUGUAGCGGUGAAAUGCGCAGAUAUCAGGAGGAACACCGGUGGCGAAGGCGGGACUCUGGGCCGAUACUGACGCUGAGGAGCGAAAGCGUGGGGAGCGAACAGG
This 253-nucleotide ribosomal RNA is filed under the name uncultured bacterium. Its description in RNAcentral is "partial 16S ribosomal RNA". It matches the Rfam family "Bacterial small subunit ribosomal RNA", at positions 524 to 776 of the family's 1533-position model. The record is from RNAcentral.